This 2236-nucleotide ribosomal RNA is filed under the name human gut metagenome. RNAcentral's name for it is "bacterial LSU rRNA". It matches the Rfam family "Bacterial large subunit ribosomal RNA", at positions 544 to 2822 of the family's 2925-position model. The record is from RNAcentral.
UAGAAUUUGAAACCCUAUGUUUACAAGCAGACAAAGCACGUUAAGGUGCGAUGUCGUACUUUUUGUAGAACGGUCCAGCGAGUUAUUGUAUAUGGCAAGGUUAAAUACUAAGUAAGGUAUGGAGCCGAAGCGAAAGCGAGUGUUAAUAGCGCGUUUAAGUCAUAUGUAAUAGACCCGAAACCGAGUGACCUAUCCAUGGUCAGGAUGAAGCUAGAGUAAAAUCUAGUGGAGGUCCGAACUGAUUGUCGUUAAAAAGGCACCGGAUGACUUGUGGAUAGCGGAGAAAUUCCAAUCGAACUCGGAGAUAGCUGGUUCUCCUCGAAAUAGCUUUAGGGCUAGCCUUGAGGGAAUGCAUAUGGGGGUAGAGCACUGAAUGAGGUAGGGGCCUAACCAGGUUACCAAACUCUAUCAAACUCCGAAUACCAUAUGUAAAUACUCAGGAGUCAGACUGCGGGAGCUAAGUUCCGUGGUCAAAAGGAAAACAGUCCAGAUCGUCAAUUAAGGUCCCAAAGAUAUAGCUAAGUGGAAAACGAUGUGAUUUUGCAUAAACAACCAGGAUGUUGGCUCAGAAGCAGCCAUUCAUUCAAAGAGUGCGUAAUAGCUCACUGGUCGAGUGAAGUUGCGCGGAAAAUUACCGGGGCUAAGCUAUACACCGAAAUUGCGGAUUUACAUUUGAAAGAUAAUGUAAGUGGUAGAGGAGCAUUCUGUAGUAGGAAGAAGCAUGACCGUAAGGACAUGUGGACGAAGCAGAAGAGAGAAUGCUGGAAUAAGUAGCGAGAGGAUGGUGAGAAUCCAUCCCGUCGAAAAUCUAAGGUUUCCCAGGGAAGGUUCGUCCGCCUGGGGUAAGUCGGGACCUAAGGAGAGGCCGAAAGGCGUAUCUGAUGGAUAGCAGGUUGAAAUUCCUGCACUACGAAUAUACUUAAAAGAUUCAAGGGACGCAGAAGUGGAAGAUAACCAAGUAAGAGGAAAAGCUUGGCUCGCAAGAGGGAGUGAAAAUUAAAAGUAACGAAGUAUCAAGAAGCACGCUGACGAGAAAAGCUUGAAGAUAUUGUAUAUAAGUACCCGUACCGCAAACCGACACAGGUAGAUGAGGAGAGGAUCCUAAGACGAGCGGGAGAAGCAUUGUUAAGGAACUCGGCAAAUUAACCCCGUAACUUCGGAAUAAGGGGUGCUGAUGUAACAGUCAGUCGCAGAGAAAAGGCCCAAGCAACUGUUUAACAAAAACAUAGGUUUCUGCUAAAUCGAAAGAUGAAGUAUAGGAGCUGACGCCUGCCCAGUGCUGGAAGGUUAAGGGAAAGAGUUAGGGUUAAACCGAAGCUUAGAACUGAAGCCCCAGUGAACGGCGGCCGUAACUAUAACGGUCCUAAGGUAGCGAAAUUCCUUGUCAGGUAAGUUCUGACCCGCACGAAAGGCGUAAUGAUUUGGGCGCUGUCUCGACAAUGUCCCCGGCGAAAUUGUAGUACUAGUGAAGAUGCUAGUUACCUGCGAUAAGACAGAAAGACCCCAUGGAGCUUUACUGCAGUUUGAUACUGGGUUUCGAUGAUUUAUGUACAGGAUAGUUGGGAGACUAUGAAAGAGAGGCGUCAGCUUCUCCGGAGUCGUUGUUGGGAUACCAACCUUAAGUUAUUGAAAUUCUAACUUGUAAUCGUAAACCGGUUAGAGGACAAUGUCAGACGGGCAGUUUGACUGGGGCGGUCGCCUCCUAAAGAGUAACGGAGGCGCCCAAAGGUUUCCUCAGCGCGGACAGAAAUCGCGCGAAAGAGUGUAAAGGCAGAAGGAAGCUUAACUGAGAGACAGACAUGUCGACCAGAUACGAAAGUAGGGCUUAGUGAUCCGGUGGUUGUAAAUGGAAAUGCCAUCGCUCAACGGACAAAAGUUACCCUGGGGAUAACAGGCUUAUCUCCCCCAAGAGUUCACAUCGACGGGGAGGUUUGGCACCUCGAUGUCGGCUCAUCGCAUCCUGGAGCGGAAGUACGUUCCAAGGGUUGGGCUGUUCGCCCAUUAAAGCGGUACGCGAGCUGGGUUCAGAACGUCGUGAGACAGUUCGGUCCUUAUCUAUCGCAGGCGUAAGAUAUUUGAAGAGUGCUGUCCUUAGUACGAGAGGACCAGGAUGGACAUACCAAUGGUGUAUCAGUUGUCUCACCAGAGGCACGGCUGAGUAGCUAAGUAUGGAUUGGAUAAACGCUGAAAGCAUCUAAGUGUGAAGCCAACUCUAAGAUAAGAUAUCUCAUAUCGU